AGAGUUUGAUCCUGGCUCAGGAUGAACGCUGGCGGCGUGCCUAAUACAUGCAAGUCGAGCGAAUGGAUUAAGAGCUUGCUCUUAUGAAGUUAGCGGCGGACGGGUGAGUAACACGUGGGUAACCUGCCCAUAAGACUGGGAUAACUCCGGGAAACCGGGGCUAAUACCGGAUAACAUUUUGAACUGCAUGGUUCGAAAUUGAAAGGCGGCUUCGGCUGUCACUUAUGGAUGGACCCGCGUCGCAUUAGCUAGUUGGUGAGGUAAUGGCUCACCAAGGCAACGAUGCGUAGCCGACCUGAGAGGGUGAUCGGCCACACUGGGACUGAGACACGGCCCAGACUCCUACGGGAGGCAGCAGUAGGGAAUCUUCCGCAAUGGACGAAAGUCUGACGGAGCAACGCCGCGUGAGUGAUGAAGGCUUUCGGGUCGUAAAACUCUGUUGUUAGGGAAGAACAAGUGCUAGUUGAAUAAGCUGGCACCUUGACGGUACCUAACCAGAAAGCCACGGCUAACUACGUGCCAGCAGCCGCGGUAAUACGUAGGUGGCAAGCGUUAUCCGGAAUUAUUGGGCGUAAAGCGCGCGCAGGUGGUUUCUUAAGUCUGAUGUGAAAGCCCACGGCUCAACCGUGGAGGGUCAUUGGAAACUGGGAGACUUGAGUGCAGAAGAGGAAAGUGGAAUUCCAUGUGUAGCGGUGAAAUGCGUAGAGAUAUGGAGGAACACCAGUGGCGAAGCGACUUUCUGGUCUGUAACUGACACUGAGGCGCGAAAGCGUGGGGAGCAAACAGGAUUAGAUACCCUG
RNAcentral lists this ribosomal RNA (800 nucleotides) under uncultured bacterium. RNAcentral's name for it is "bacterial SSU rRNA". It matches the Rfam family "Bacterial small subunit ribosomal RNA", at positions 8 to 789 of the family's 1533-position model. The record is from RNAcentral.